UAAUACAGAGGGUGCGAGCGUUGUUCGGAAUUACUGGGCGUAAAGCGCGCGUAGGCGGCUUCUUAAGUCUUACCGUGAAAUGCCGGGGCUCAACCCCGCGCACGUCGGGGGAUACUGGGGAGCUGGAGACAAGUAGAGGCGAGCGGAAUUCCGGGUGUAGCGGUGGAAUGCGUAGAGAUCCGGAAGAACACCAGAGGCGAAGGCGGCUCGCUGGGCUUGGUCUGACGCUGAGGCGCGAAAGCGUGGGGAGCGAACAGGAUUAGAUACCCUGGUAGUCCACGCCGUAAACGAUGGAUGCUAGACGCUGGGCGGAUCGACCCGGUCAGUGUCGCAGCUAACGCGAUAAGCAUCCCGCCUGGGGAGUACGGCCGCAAGGCUG
Molecule: ribosomal RNA, 379 nt
Filed under: uncultured bacterium
Lineage: Bacteria
Description: bacterial SSU rRNA
Rfam family: Bacterial small subunit ribosomal RNA
Source: RNAcentral